UACGGAGGAUGCAAGCGUUAUCCGGAUUCAUUGGGUUUAAAGGGUGCGCAGGCGGGCUAAUAAGCCAGUGGUGAAAGCCCAUCGCUCAACGAUGGAACUGCCAUUGAUACUGUAAGACUUGAAUGCUUAGGAAGUAACUAGAAUAUGUAGUGUAGCGGUGAAAUGCUUAGAUAUUACAUGGAAUACCAAUUGCGAAGGCAGGUUACUACUAAGUGAUUGACGCUGAUGGACGAAAGCGUGGGGAGCGAACAGGAUUAGAUACCCUGGUAGUCCACGCCGUAAACGAUGGAUACUAGCUGUUCGGAGCAAUCUGAGUGGCUAAGCGAAAGUGAUAAGUAUCCCACCUGGGGAGUACGCACGCAAGUGUGAA
RNAcentral lists this ribosomal RNA (370 nucleotides) under uncultured bacterium. RNAcentral describes it as "bacterial SSU rRNA". It matches the Rfam family "Bacterial small subunit ribosomal RNA", at positions 524 to 898 of the family's 1533-position model. The record is from RNAcentral.